RNAcentral lists this ribosomal RNA (313 nucleotides) under uncultured bacterium. RNAcentral's name for it is "bacterial SSU rRNA". It matches the Rfam family "Bacterial small subunit ribosomal RNA", at positions 28 to 334 of the family's 1533-position model. The record is from RNAcentral.
GAUGAACGCUAGCGACAGGCUUAACACAUGCAAGUCGAGGGGCAGCGGGGAGUAGCAAUACUCUGCCGGCGACCGGCGCACGGGUGAGUAACGCGUAUGCAACUUACCUAUCAGAGGAGAAUAGCUCAUCGAAAGAUGAAUUAAUGCUCCAUAAAACAGGGGUCCCGCAUGGGAAUAUUUGUUAAAGAUUUAUCGACUGAUAGAUAGGCAUGCGUUCCAUUAGAUAGUAGGCGGGGUAACGGCCCACCUAGUCUUCGAUGGAUAGGGGUUCUGAGAGGAAGGUCCCCCACAUUGGAACUGAGACACGGUCCAA